Small nuclear RNA from Xenia sp. Carnegie-2017, 196 nucleotides. RefSeq annotates it as U2 spliceosomal RNA. The transcript has a single exon. The record is from RefSeq and is a predicted model, not a curated record. Lineage: Eukaryota; Metazoa; Cnidaria; Anthozoa; Malacalcyonacea; Xeniidae.
CCGACUUCGUAACCUACCCGGUCCCCACCCAAAAUAAGAUCAAGUGUAGUAUCUGUUCUUAUCAGCUUAAUAUCUGAUAUGUCGGGCAAUGCCCGACUCUUAUUAAACUGAUUUUGGAUAUCGCCAUGGAUUGGAGCUUGCUCCCUGGCCACGGGUUGUCUCGGUAUUGCACUACCUCCGAGUUCGCCCAUUUCCU